AGUAAAGUGGCGGCACGGGUGAGUAACACGUGGAUAAUCUGCCUUUUUGUUGGGGGGAGUAAACCUGGGGAAAACCUGGGCUAAUACCGCAUAAGCUCGAGAGAGGAAAGCCGCAAGGCGCAGGAAGAGGAGUCCGCGGUCGAUUAGCUAGUUGGUAGGGUAAAAGCCUACCAAGGCCACGAUCGAUAGCCGGCCUGAGAGGGCACACGGCCACACUGGCACUGAAACACGGGCCAG
RNAcentral lists this ribosomal RNA (237 nucleotides) under uncultured bacterium. RNAcentral's name for it is "partial 16S ribosomal RNA". It matches the Rfam family "Bacterial small subunit ribosomal RNA", at positions 100 to 334 of the family's 1533-position model. The record is from RNAcentral.